UAGGGAGACCUACCCACUCAGAUACCGAGAUAGAUAAAUAUAGAGGUAAUGAGUUGGUCAACCUAGGUCGGUCGCAGGAAUGUUUAGGCUUUCAAACUAUGAUAUGGUUCGCAUUGGGGCUAUUAGCUCAGGUGGUUAGAGCGCACCCCUGAUAAGGGUGAGGUCCCUGGUUCGAGUCCAGGAUGGCCCACCUGAAAGUAAUUAGUAAUUACUAAUUCGUAGUUCGUAAUUAAUUACGAAUUAUGGAUUACGAAUUACGAAUUAUAAUCUGGGGGUUUAGCUCAGUUGGUAGAGCGCCUGCUUUGCAAGCAGGAUGUCAGCGGUUCGAGUCCGCUAACCUCCACCUGAAAAGUAAAAAUACCAAAGGAAAAGACAGCACCUAUUUGACAGGAAUAGAAUGCUGGGUGAAAUCCUAGCCAGAACCUUGAAAACUGCAUAGAAACGCGAGAUUUUAGCAGGCAGACACAGACAUAAUCAAGAAAGUGUUUGCAUGGAAAAAACCAAUUGUUAAGU
This 513-nucleotide transfer RNA is filed under the name Nostoc sp. 4A4. Its description in RNAcentral is "16S-23S ribosomal RNA intergenic spacer". The stretch from base 271 to 343 matches the Rfam family "tRNA". Lineage: Bacteria; Bacillati; Cyanobacteriota; Cyanophyceae; Nostocales; Nostocaceae. The record is from RNAcentral.